Sorghum bicolor (sorghum) is the source of this 2219-nucleotide RNA transcript. RefSeq lists it as uncharacterized. NCBI's taxonomy places the organism in Eukaryota, Viridiplantae, Streptophyta, Magnoliopsida, Poales, Poaceae. The transcript is spliced from 3 exons. The record is from RefSeq and is a predicted model, not a curated record.
CCGCAUACACCAUGUCGCCGAUCUCAAUUGGGUCGUGACUCCCACAUCCGAUCCCCACCCUUGAAUCGUUCCCGAGAGCGACGGAGGCGGCGGCGUACGGAACCACCGAAGGCGGCGGAGUCGGCCACGGCGAGCGGCAAGCCCAGACGUUGAGGUACGGACGACGACGACAACUGCUCGGUCGAGAUGGCGCCAGGCAUAGCUCUUCCCGUCCCCGAUGCCGCUGGCCGAGCCAGAGCCGGGAGCGGUGCCGGUGCCAAUGUGGAAGCCGCGACGCUUCUAGGGUCUCGGCGUGACGCACAGGUUGGUGGUGCCCGCGAAGAAGACCCGGCGUGGGCCGAGGUCGCGAAGCUCGCAGUAAGGGCGUCAUCUUCUACAGGAGUAUGGGCUAUUGGGCGUCGCACAUCUGCUUCUCGAUUUAAACAGGGAUUGCGUGAAGCAAGUCUACCUGGUGACUGCCCUGAGAGUUCCACACGUUCGAGCUCAUCUUCAAUGAAAUGUAUUUGAGUACGAGUGACCGUCCCAAUUUCCUUGUACUGCUAACAGUAUCUGGUAUUAUUUCACCUUCUUUUUUUCUACAAUAGUUCAGGUAAAUUUUACAUGGCAAAAUUACUGAAUUUGUGCAGCUCUGUCAAACUACAAGUAGGGACUACAAGAUACUUGACAUUUUCCUCCGUUGAAAUUUGACAGCUAAAUCAUUUUUCAGUUAAACAUUCUAAAUACUAUGAUGGUGAUGGUGAUGUUAUGUCAGUCAGUGAGGUUCCUCUAAACUGCUUUGACCAGUAUAUAUAUAUAUAUAUAUAUAUAUAUAUAUAUUUCCACCUCUAAAUGUUUUCUCAAAUAUUGUUAAUUGCUGCUAUGUAACUGUUUGAAACAAUAAUACAUUUGAGGGUCCUCUAAACUGCUAUAUAUUUCCACCUCUAAAUGUUAAACGCUUGGGAAUUAACUUUGAACUUAAAUGUGCCCCGUAGCGUUAGCACGGUUAUUAUACUAGUUUAGUUAGUGCGUCAAUAUAAGUUUGUGUGUUUUGACUAAUUUUGACUGAAUUGGUUGGAGCGUUGAUUGAAUUAGUUAUAAGCUGAACUAGACAAGCAGCCAUUGUUAGUCAUAUAGGUUAGUUUCAUAAUUACUAUUUAGCUCUUAAUUUAAUUGGUAUGUUGCCUCAGUGCAGCUACCAAGAGUAGUCAUGUGAUUUUGGUGACAAACAUUUUCUCUGUCAACAUGGCCACUCCCAAUCCUCGGUCGCCUUCUGCCUUUGCCCUCCAUCUUCUACCCCUGCAGCCACUGCCGAUCUCACCGUCCUCAGUGCAGGACACUGUAGGUGCAAGCUAGCAGAUUAACCAAUCCAUCACAACAAUGAUUUAGAUUUACUAUUUAUUUGUUUUCAAACAUUUUGGCAAGUUCCUAGACAAAUGAAUUGGUUAUUGGCAGUCAGAAAUAAAAUGUGUAAAAAAACUAAACAAGUAAUGGAAAGCCAUAGAGGAAUUUCUAUCUCAAUCUGCAUGUCUAUUCCAUUUUUCUUAUUUUUAACUUUCUUUUAUAUUGUUAUCAUGUCUGCUGCUCUGAGCUAUGCCAUAAUAUUGUUUAUUUUAACUCUACUCUGAACACAACUGAUGUUGCCUUGCUUUACUUAUCUUUGUAGUUCUAAAGCAGACCAGCACAUUGCCAGAUAAGCCAUCAGCUGCUACUGCUCCUUUGGUGUCGUGCUAACUCAACAGUGUUAUUUCAUCGAUGUGCUGACCUGUCAUUCAGUACAAAAAAGUCAUCAUCGUCAUCUUCUCCAAGAGUAGCAAAUGGAGGGAGGACUGCAUCAGCCGUAUAAGUGUCAUCUGGGUCUUCAUCUUCAUCGAACAGGUCAUCAUGCUCUGGUUCAAGCACGGCUGUUGCAAUGGCAUGUUGAAUAACAGAAGCAUCAACUGUAGCUCCAUCAAGGCCGGACCUACUCCAAGCCGUCACAUCCUCAUUUUGCUGCCCAACAUUCAUACCAUCCACUCCAACAACAACCGAGUCCAGAUCGAGCUCGCCCAUAGUAUUAGUACCAUCUCCUUCAGGCAUGGCAAAUAGGUUCCUAGGCUGCACUCUAAUGACACUGCACCAACCUGGUUUCUUUAGCUUUCUCACAUAAAAGACUUGCUCGGCCUGUGUGCUUAGGAUGUAAGGUUCAUUUAAAUACCUAAACCGAGUGGUAUCAAUUUCGAUGACCCCAUAUUUAUCCUUAU